RNAcentral lists this ribosomal RNA (515 nucleotides) under uncultured bacterium. Its description in RNAcentral is "partial 16S ribosomal RNA". It matches the Rfam family "Bacterial small subunit ribosomal RNA", at positions 28 to 523 of the family's 1533-position model. The record is from RNAcentral.
GAUGAACGCUGGCGGCGUGCCUAAUACAUGCAAGUCGAGCGAAUGGAUUAAGAGCUUGCUCUUAUGAAGUUAGCGGCGGACGGGUGAGUAACACGUGGGUAACCUGCCCAUAAGACUGGGAUAACUCCGGGAAACCGGGGCUAAUACCGGAUAACAUUUUGAACCGCAUGGUUCGAAAUUGAAAGGCGGCUUCGGCUGUCACUUAUGGAUGGACCCGCGUCGCAGUAGCUAGUUGGUGAGGUAACGGCUCACCAAGGCAACGAUGCGUAGCCGACCUGGGAGGGUGAUCGGCCACGAUGGGACUGGGACACGGCCCAGACUCCUACGGAGGGCAGCAGUAGGGAAUCUUCCGCAAUGGACGAAGGUCUGACGGAGUAACGCCGCGUGAGUGAUGAAGGCUUUCGGGUCGUAAAACUCUGUUGUUAGGGAAGAACAAGUGCUAGUUGAAUAAGCUGGCACCUUGACGGUACCUAACCAGAAAGCCACGGCUAACUACGUGCCAGCAGCCGCCGCGG